Mastomys coucha (southern multimammate mouse) is the source of this 741-nucleotide long non-coding RNA. RefSeq lists it as uncharacterized. The transcript is spliced from 2 exons. The record is from RefSeq and is a predicted model, not a curated record. NCBI's taxonomy places the organism in Eukaryota, Metazoa, Chordata, Mammalia, Rodentia, Muridae.
UGUCCCGCCUGAAGUUCCGCUGUCGGGGGCCUCCGGUGUAGACGGGGAGACGACUCGAGCCACGGGCUUCCUCCGGCAGAGUCCGUUCCUGGGCUCACCCCUGCCCCAGCGGCGCCCUCCCGGCGGCUGCUCCGGACUGCUCUCAUUUCCCUCCCAUAGACCGCAUUCCCACCCACUGACUUGAGACCCUCCAUGAACGAAUGGAUAACAACAGCAAUGGAAUCAGGAAGCAAGCUCAGCUUUCACAUGUUUGUUCUGCUUUUGUUUAGGUUUAUGUUUUGUUGUUUAUUGUUGUUGUUUUUCCCCUAAGGACCAAGCACGGUGUUUUCUGAAUGAACGUUUCUGGGUUUGGAUAGAUUCAGAGAGGCUGCCCAGAUGAGGAAACCGAGGCUGAGAAGAAAGUAAUUGUUCAGAAAUCACACAGGCAGCGAAUGGUAGACUGGACUGAGACUUGAGCCCCAGCGUUGACUCAGCCAUUGACACGCAAGCCUGCUUACACCGUCGAACUUUUACAAAGCAUGAAUAAAAAUAAGCAACGAAAAUUCCAGGCAGGCACUAGAAUUCACAGAUUAGAAGAGAAAUGUCUUCUGUUAUGAUUCACGGUAAUAAAGACUCAAGAAGAACAUCCACUAUCGUGUUUCUGGGCAGGCCUUGUCCCCAGAAGGAGAUGACCAAUGCAAGACCAGCUCAAAGACAUUUUCGUUCUGUCCCAUUCCAAUUUAUUUCCAUUUACUCUUAUUA